GCCAGGCAGCACCUCAUGCAUUGCUCAUCUUGUUGUUCUGUUUGCAGAGGAGAAAUCCCCGGAUCGCUCCCAUCAGCCCCAUCCAGCAGCAGCCACCACCGGCAACGGGGACAGGGGAGCAGCAGGGACAGCGAGGACACAGCCCCACAGCGGCACCCUCAGAAUCCAGGGGAAGAUGUACCCUGCCAGGACCUGGUGCUGUGCAUUUGCAGCCACAAAUCUGGGCAUGGCUCCGGGGGAUGGGAUGGUGCAGCUGCACCCCAGUGUGACUCAGUCAUGGGACAGUAACCACACCCCACCACGGAUGCUCCAGAGCCUCCUGGAUGCGGAACAGGGCUUUGCUGACUGCAUCCCACAGACACGGUGCUGGACCCCCCUCGGGUGACCCAUGGGGACAAGGACACAGCUGAGGACACGCCACUGUGCUCCCCGGGGACAGCCUGUUUGCAGCACACCACCGCAAGGCACAGCUCUGGGUGAUGUGAGAGGACGCUGUGUGGUCUGGAUGGCCAAGAAGGGCUGGAGGAGAGCCCAAGGAUGGGCUGAAAUGUGGGCAGGGACCGGGCAGGUCCCCUCCCUGUCCCUGUGGUAAGGGCUCACUCCAUCCCAUGGCUGGAUCCAGGAAGGUCCCGGGGCACAGAAGCCGCUGCCACUUGAGCCAGAGGCACCGGGGGACAAGGUCUGCAGCAAAAGGAGGUGAAAAAGAAAACCAACAAGUCUAUUAAAGGUGUU
Numida meleagris (helmeted guineafowl) is the source of this 732-nucleotide long non-coding RNA. RefSeq lists it as uncharacterized. The record is from RefSeq and is a predicted model, not a curated record. The transcript has 3 exons. Lineage: Eukaryota; Metazoa; Chordata; Aves; Galliformes; Numididae.